UAUGUAACGUGCCUGAAUAAAGGAUAAUCUUGAUAGGAUUGGUCAUGUGUAAAAUCACCAUU
Molecule: transfer RNA, 62 nt
Filed under: Syneta adamsi
Lineage: Eukaryota; Metazoa; Arthropoda; Insecta; Coleoptera; Chrysomelidae
Description: tRNA-Ile
Source: RNAcentral